UGAACUCUUAUGAUCGUGGAGGAAGCAGAUGGACUGCUUUCUGUGUGAGAGAUCUAGUCAAACAUGACACUCCCUCAACGCAGACACGUGCUUUGAGCCUAGGUAACAUAAAAACUGUUUAGACACGUCCCACUGGGGGAGGGUGAGAUGACAUGCACACACUUUGAUAACUCAGAAGCUAGAUGACUGGCUGCUGGUGUGUUCAGGUAGGGAUCAGUCUCUGCUAAUGUUCAGCUGGCUUCUUUCCUAGAGCCUCAGCUCGCUCCGUCUUCCAGCCUUACAUCACUUGAAGCUCCUCAGAUGUUUGAGGCCACAUCCUUUCAUCUGUUGUUUCUGUGU
Long non-coding RNA from Cyprinus carpio (common carp), 339 nucleotides. The record is from Ensembl. Lineage: Eukaryota; Metazoa; Chordata; Actinopteri; Cypriniformes; Cyprinidae.